UACAGAGGGUGCAAGCGUUAAUCGGAAUUACCGGGCGUAAAGCGUGCGCAGACGGUUGCGUAAGUCAGAUGUGAAAGCCCCGGGCUCAACCUGGGAAUUGCAUUUGAGACUGCGUAGCUAGGGUGCGGAAGAGGGAAGCGGAAUUUCCGGUGUAGCGGUGAAAUGCGUAGAUAUCGGAAGGAACACCAGUGGCGAAAGCGGCUUCCUGGUCCAGCACCGACGUUCAGGCACGAAAGCGUGGGGAGCAAACAGG
RNAcentral lists this ribosomal RNA (253 nucleotides) under uncultured bacterium. RNAcentral's name for it is "partial 16S ribosomal RNA". It matches the Rfam family "Bacterial small subunit ribosomal RNA", at positions 524 to 776 of the family's 1533-position model. The record is from RNAcentral.